This 17137-nucleotide long non-coding RNA is filed under the name Nicotiana tabacum (common tobacco). RNAcentral's name for it is "long non-coding RNA (NTAB_LNC009103)". The record is from RNAcentral. Lineage: Eukaryota; Viridiplantae; Streptophyta; Magnoliopsida; Solanales; Solanaceae.
CGGCUUCAACUGUUAUACCCCAUUUUAACACGGGUCAAACCAGAGUAUAACAUAUUGGUAAUUCUGAAGGUUUAAUUAAUUAAGAGAGUCGCCACCUAAUUAUUUUUAAAGGUGAAUUAGGACACCUAGUUACAAAAUAAUGCUUAAAAUCAACUAUGUUUUAUGAUCUGCUUAAUCUUAAGAUUAUGAGUAAGGGUUCUAAUUAAUCCUAUAGGGAAGAUUGUUAAAGCACCCUAUAUGAUCCGUUAAUUACGGUUAACCAGCCAAACUUAGGUUAAUUAGUAAAACAACUAAAUGAUGAGAAUAUACUUAUUAGAAAAGGGUUAAUAGUAAGUCAUUCCAAAGUAGAGAUUUACAAUCGGAGCAAGAAAAUUGUUUUAGACUGUUUCAAACUCAUAAAAGAAAAGUCCAAAACUAUUUGAAAACAAAAUUAAAAACUCAUUAAGUUUCCAAUAAUUAGCUAAGAAAAACAGUUCAACAAAGUGAAAUAAAAUUUAAAGCUUGCUUGGGUCAAAAAACAUCUUCCUAACGAGAAGAGAUUAAUCACUAAACUUGAAACAAAUCUAAGAUUCACAAAAUGUUUAAGGAAAAUUACUUUCGCGUGAGGAAAUACUUUACAAGUUCAAAAUCACAAAUCAUUCCAGCCAAGUGCAUUUAACAUUUAAAAGCAAAGGGAUAUUAAAUUAUUGAACUCCCAAAAAAUCAAACCUAAUGUAGAUAAAUUUAGGAUAACUAUAGACUUCUAGACCUCUACCCCAUAUUCUUCUUGAUAAAACAAACAUCCUUAUUGUUACCUAGUAAUAACUCUAAAUGAUCUAAGACCCAGCUCUUAUAAACAAACAAAUAGUCACAACAAACACACAAGUAAAUAUUAGUCAGUAAGGAUAAACCAAAAUAAGUUAAAAUAAUGUAAUAAAGCUUCUAUCCAAUUGUCAGGAGGAUAAAUCUCCCCAAAUUUCGCUAUUCAAAGGGACGAAUAAAGGUAUGAGGGUUCACUUCGGCAGCGGCGUGGAGUCUAACUUUGAGACUCUUUGGCUCCGGUGUGUGUAACAUGCAAAGAAAAAAAAAUAAAAGAAUAAAAUUAGCAGAGGUCUUAAAUCUUCAACAAGCAUGAAGAAAAUGAAACAAUGAAGCUAGGCAAAGACAAGAUUGCAUUGAGUGUGUGUCCCAAGUAUUAUAGAGACAAGAAACAGAUCUCAAAAACUUCAAAUAGGAUACAUGUUGCAAGAAAAGGAUGUUUUUAUAAAACUUAAGAACGUAAUAUUUACCUAGCAAAUAUACUUGUAAGGAUCUAAGAAUGAUCUUUAACUACCACUCUAAAAAAUACUAUGGGCAUGCUUUUAUAUAUAUAUAUAUAUAUAUAUAUAUAUAUAUAUAUAUAUAUACUANNNNNNNNNNNNNNNNAGUACUUCUUCCAUAUGACAUUUAAAUAAGUAAAUAGUGGUUAAUCCAUAAAAAUUCAUGGCCUACAAACAUGGUUCUUAAAUAGUUGAAAAAAAUUCCAUACGCAAGUUCAUAUGAGAAUUUAGUCAAACACAUGGCAUUCUUAUUCAAACUUUCUAUUGCCACAAUACGCAAUGAACCACAAAUCAUGAUUUUUCAAUAAAAUAAUUCCUCAAGUAUGAUUUAUACAUAGAAAGCAAGUCACAUUCUUAAGCAAGCAUUUAUUCUGGAACUCAAAAUAAAAAUUAAAAAAAAGGGAGAAGGAAAUUUUUAAGGCUACGGACCUGCUUGGGGGCAGUGAACCGGAGCUUCAACCUCGAAUCUACUCUAUAUUGUCACCAACAGAUCCGACUUCUAGCUGAGUUCGAGUAUUCUGUUACGGCUAAAGUACGCUGAGACAGAAGCAAAAGUUCCAAAGAAACUUUUAGAGUUUUUGGGAGAUGAUAUCAACAACGAGAAAAUGAUAGUAUUCGUCAGGGGCACAAUUUGUGUGAAGUAGGCUGCUCCCUCCCAGAACUCUCCCAAAUGCGAGUAUUUAUAGGAGAUGUAGAGGUAGGGAUUGUAUUUUAGGCGGGAUAUUUUUCAGAUUUUGAUUUUGAAAUGGAGUCAAAAAGCCGUUCGAAUCCGAACGUUGGGAAUUUAAUGUUCAUGUGGCUUGGUAUGAGAAAGUCCUCUGAGAUCGAAUCAAAUCCCUGAAAAUCAGUUCUUUCCAUCUCAGAAAAUCAGAAUGCCAAAAGUCUUUUGGCCUCUUUUGUUGGCUAAAUCAUUGAAGACAAAGUUUGCUCAAAAAUAGAAGGGACAAAGUUUGUCCUUGGCUAAAGUGAAGCUUGACNNNNNNNNNNNNNNNNNNNNNNNNNNNNNNNNNNNNNNNNNNNNNNNNNNNNNNNNNNNNNNNNNNNNNNNNNNNNNNNNNNNNNNNNNNNNNNNNNNNNNNNNNNNNNNNNNNNNNNNNNNNNNNNNNNNNNNNNNNNNNNNNNNNNNNNNNNNNNNNNNNNNNNNNNNNNNNNNNNNNNNNNNNNNNNNNNNNNNNNNNNNNNNNNNNNNNNNNNNNNNNNNNNNNNNNNNNNNNNNNNNNNNNNNNNNNNNNNNNNNNNNNNNNNNNNNNNNNNNNNNNNNNNNNNNNNNNNNNNNNNNNNNNNNNNNNNNNNNNNNNNNNNNNNNNNNNAAGUAGUAGUCAUAAUAACAAUAGUGAUAAUGAUAAUAGUAAUAACAGUAAUAGUGACAAAAUAAUAAUAAUAAUAAUAAUAAUAAUAAUAAUAAUAAUAAUAAUAAUAAUAAUAAUAAUAAUAAUAUAAUAAUAAUAAUAAAAUAGUAAUUAUAAGGAUAAUAAUAAUAUGAACACUAAUACUAAUACUAAUAAUAGUAGCAGUAACAAUUAUAAUAAAAAUAGUAGUAAAAUAGGGUAUUCAGCUUAUUAGUAACUUAGAAGCUCAAGAAAAUUAAAUAGAAGAAAGGAGGGACAAAAUUGGAUGUCAACAGCUGCCCCUCUUUGACCGAAGACGAUGAAAGAGUUUUCGGGCAAAAAAUAUUGACUUAGUAGCCAAUUUUGUCCCGACCAUAAAUACAGGGUAAGGGUCUGAUUGAGCUGAUAUAAAUGUUGGGAAGAUUACUUGUAUAAGGAGGUUAUGGAAAAAUUAUGGUCGUACCCCGAUUUCGAGUUGCCUACAUAUCUCAGGCUUCACGAGACCCAGGCCGUAUGUAGUUCGAGAAUUAUAUUGGAAAAGAUUAUUUAAGAGUCGAAAACAGGUCAUGAGAGUAUUUGAGAGUGGGGAAAUGCUUUGUAGCCUCCUAAUUAUAAAAUAUGGCAGAUAACACACGAGUAGAGCUCUACUAGAUACGAUUUUUGACACCUUAGGAUUGAAUGAACUUACUGAUUUUCAAAAUCUGCCCCAGUGUCGAGUUAUGAUGACACUGGGUUACGAAGAAUUAUGAGAUUAUGAAAGCGAUUGAUCGAGAAAAAUAUAGGGGCAAAUACGAUGAAAAAUUUAGAAUUACUUGGAUUACCUACAUAUCCCGUGUUUUUGGGAUGUAGGUGGAGUAAAGUUUGAGAGUAGAUCUUUGAUCUUACUUUUGAGUUUGAUAUUCCUCUUCAACAAAUUUGUCCCAGUUCACUUCUAAGAGAUAGUUCCACGUUGUGCUAUAUUUUCUGUUAAGCUCAAUAGACUAGGUAAACUUGUUAAUAAACGAGAUAUAAAAAAUAUAAAAUAUAAAAAUAUAAAAAAUUAUAAAAUUCAGCGAUGACUUUAGAAAAUGAAGUAUUCAACCGCAUGAUUGAUAAAAAUGAGGCAUUUAAGACAAUGAUUGAUGAAAAUGAGGCAUUUAAACUAAAUGAUGAUGCAAUUUAGGUGUAUUUGAAACAUUUGCUUUGUGCAUUUGCAAGCAAUGAUAUAGUAUUGUUGAAAGUAUUUGUGCAGUGCAUUUGCGGUGCCUUUGAAAGCGAUGGUGCAGUGCAUUUGAAAGCAUUUAUGUUGUGCAUUUUGCAGGCAAUGGUGCAUUUGAAAGAAAUGGUGCAAUGUAUUUAAAAACAUUUGUGCAGUGCAUUUGAAAGCAAUGGUGCAUUGCAUUUGUGGUGCAUUUGAAAGCAAUGGUGCGGCGCAUUUGAAAGCAUUUAUGUCGUGCAUUUUGCAAACAAUGGUGCAUUCGAAAGAAAUGGUGCAAUGUAUUUGAAGCAUCUGUGCAGUGCAUUUGAAAGCAGCGGUGCAGUGCAUUUGCGGUGCAUUUGAAAGCAAUAGUGCGGUGUAUUUAAGAGCAUUUAUGUAGUGCAUUUUGCAAGCAAUGGUGCAUUCGAAAGAAAUGGUGCAAUGUAUUUGAAGCAUUUGUGCGGUGCAUUUGAAAGCAGCGGUGCAGUGCAUUUGAAAGCAAUGGUGCGGUGUAUUUGAAAGCUAAUGUGCAAUAUAUUUAAAGCCAUGUGCGAUGCAGUUUGCAUUCAAAUGCCAGGAUUAUCAUCAUUCAAGAGGUGUAGUUUCCUAUAAAAUAAUAUAAAGAAAUUCAAACCGCUCGACCAAUGAUUUUGGUAGUUAUACUCGUUAUUGAUUUUUGCUUCUGCUAUCUUGAAAAUCUGCAUUCAAAGAAAAAACUUGAGUUUUUAGGGGAAGGUUGAUUCGAGUUGACUUUGAUGCUCUGGCUUUUGAUAAUCUUGCGCUUCCAACUUUGUUUGGACUUGCACCCUCUGCCCAAUACCGAAUCUUGUUGAACGAAUAGUUAAGAGAUUUUGAUAAAAAAAAUAAUAAAUAAAUAAAAAAAACAAAAAACAAAUUUUAAUAUGCAUAAAUAUAUAUAAAAAUAAAGUUGUUGCCGAACUCUAUAUUGUGACAUGCUUUGUGAAACAAAGUGAACGUCCUCAUCUUAAUUCCUGUAUUCGUCUUGCUUGACCAUCCUUUGUUGAUGACUGAUGCCUCCUCAUGACGACGCCUUCAAAAGCUGCCCCAAUUUCCAAUUUGGGAAAAUGUUGAUUUUUAUUAUGAUGAGACCGAACCCACAGGGCUGUCUACGUAUCCUCUCUUAAACGAGAAUCAGGUCAAACAUAGUUCAUUUACAUUAAGAAGUAUUACAUGAAAAAGAAAGAGGUUGCUAGAUAUGCCUCUAGAUGUAGUAUCUCUUGACCGCAUCUGCGUUGAUGGGCUUGGGCCACACUUCUCCAUCCAUUUCUGCUAGAAUCAAUGCUCCUCCAGUCAAUACUCGAUGCACCAUGUACGGACCUUGCCAAUUUGGUGCAAACUUUCCUUUAGCUUCAUUUUGGUGCGGGAAUAUGCGUUUCAAAACCAGUUGCCCCGGUUUGAACUGACGUGGUUUCACUUUCUUGUUGAAGGCUCUGGCCAUCCUGUUUUGAUAGAGUUGACAAUGGCAAACUGUAUUCAUUCUGUUCUCGUCAAUAAGCAUUAAUUGCUCAUACCGAUUCUUCACCCAUUCUUCAUUGCUCAGCUUGAUUUCUUGGAUGACCCUCAAAGAUGGUAUUUCAACUUCCGUUGGUAAUACGACUUCAGUUCCAUAGACCAGAAAAUAAGGCAUUGCCCCAGUUGAUGUUCUGACAGUAGUGCGAUAUCCAAGGAGGGCAAAUGGUAGCUUCUCAUGCCAAUGCCUAUAAUUAUCAAUCAUCUUCUGCAAUAUCUUCUUUAUGUUCUUGUUGACUGCUUCAACGGCUCCAUUCAUCUGAGGUCGGUAGGGAGUGGAAUUUCGGUGAGUAAACUUGAACUUAUCACAUAUUUCUUGCAUCAAGUCACUAUUGAGAUUGGCUCCAUUAUCUGUAAUGAUUGACUCAGGAAUUCCAAAUCGGCAAACGAUGUUGUUGCGAACAAAAUCUGCUACCACCUUCUUUGUAACUGACUUGUAAUAAGAGGUUUCUCCCACUUUGUAAAGUAAUCAAUAGCUACCAAGAUAAAUCUAUGCCCAUUCGAGGUGGCCGACUCAAUAGGGCCAAUGACAUCCAGGCCCCAAGCUGUAAACGGCCAAGGAUAACUCAUCACAUUGAGUUCAUUUGGUGGGACUCGAAUCAAAUCACCGUGGAUCUGACACUGAUGACAUAUCUGUACAAAACGAAUGCAAUCUGUUUCCAUGGUCAUUCAAAAGUAACCUGCUCGCAAAAUUUUCUUUGCCAAAGUAAACCCAUUCAUGUGAGGCCCACAUGUUCCUGCGUGUAUCUCUUCAAUCAACUUGGUUGCUUCCCUGGCACCUACACACCUCAACAGUCCUAAAUCCGGGGUCCUCCUAUAUAGGAUUUCACCGUUUAGGAAAAAGUGAUUUGCCAAUCUCCUAAGCGUUCUCUUCUGGGUACUGGUUGCUCCUUCAGGGUAAUCCCUUGUUUUGAGAUACCUAUUAAUGUCAUAAUACCAUGGUUCUCCGUCUGGCUCUUCAUCCACAUGGAAACAAUAAGCUGGUUGAUCUUGUACAUUCAUCUUGAUAGGGUCUAUGUAGUUUUUAUUUGGAUGUUGAAUCAUGGACGACAAAGUUGCCAAAGCAUCUGCAAACUUAUUUUGAACCCUUGGAAUAUGCUUGAAGUCCACCUUGAUAAACUUCUUACACAACUCCUUUACACAAUGUACGUACGGUAGGAUUUUGGUGUUCUUUGUAUUCCAUUCGCCUUGUACUUGAUGAAUCAGCAAGUCUGAAUCACCUAUAACCAAUAACUCUUGGAUGUUCAUAUCAACGGCCAUUCUGAGCCCAAGUAUAUGAGGCCUGCCAUGUUGUUGGUGCAUGGAAAUCGAAGUUUUGCUGAGAUUGGAUAAUGUUGUCCAGAUUCUGAAACUAGUACUACUCCAACUCCGACUUCUUUGAAGUUUGCGGCUCCAUCAAAGAACAUUCUCCAACCAGAAUAUGCUUCUGAAAUGUCUUCUCCAGCGAACAAUACUUCUUCAUCUGGGAAGUACGUCCUAAGUGGCUUGUAUUCUUCACCCACAGGAGUUCUGCGAGGUGGUCAGCUAAAACUUGUCCUUUGAUGGCCUUCUGAGUAACAUACACGAUGUCAAACUCACUUAGCAAAAUCUGCCGCUUUGCCAGCUUCCCUGUAGGCAUAGGUUUCUGAAAGAUAUACUUGAGCGGGUCCAUUCUGGAAAUGAGAUAAGUGGUGUAUGCUGACAAGUAAUGCCUCAACUUUUGUGCAACCCAAGUUAAGGCACAACAGGUGCGUUCGAACAAAGUAUAUCUUGCUUCAUAUGGUGUGAACUUCUUGCUCAAGUAGUAUAUGACUUGCUCCUUCCUCCCAGUUUCAUCAUGUUGCCCCAAAACACAUCCAAAUGCAUUAUCUGAUACGGACAUGUAUAACAACAACGACCUUCCAGGUUCCGGAGGUACCAGCACCGGUGGGUUAGAUAAGUAUUCCUUGAUCCUAUCAAAAGCUCGUUGACAUUCUUCUGUCCAUUUGGUAGUGGCAUCUUUCCUCAACAUCUUGAAUAUCGGCUCACAAAUCACUAUUGAUUGGGCUAUGAAACGACCGAUGUAGUUGAGGCGACCAAGGAAGCUCAUCACGUCCUUCCGAUUCUUUGGAGGUGGCAGGUCUUGGAUAACCUUUAUCUUUGAAGGAUCCAACUCUAUGCCACUUCUACUGACAAUGAAACCUAAUAAUGUUCCAGCUGGAACUCCGAAUGCACACUUUGUGGGAUUCAGCUUCAAAUUGUAUCGCCACAACCUAUCAAAGAACUUCUUCAGGUCUACCAAGUGAUCUGAACUCUUCCGUGACUUGAUGAUGACAUCGUCCACAUAGACCUCAAUCUCUUUAUGGAUCAUGUCAUGAAAAAUAGUUGUCAUAUCUCUCAUGUAUGUAGCACCUGCAUUCUUGAGUCCAAAAGGCAUCACCCAAUAACAAUACACCCCCAAGGUGUAAUAAAUGUUGUCUUCUCAGUAUCAUCUUCAUCCAUCAAAAUCUGGUGGUAACCAGCAAAGCAAUCCACGAAUGACUGCAACUCAUGCUUUGCACAAUUAUCAAUGAGUAUGUGAAUAUUCGGGAGUAGGAAAUCAUCCUUUGGACUAGCCUUGUUAAGAUCCCAAUAAUCCACACAUAUUCUGAUCUUUCCGUCCUUCUUUGGUACUGGUACUAUAUUGGCCAACCAGGUGGGAUACUUCGUGACUCGGAUGACAUUUGCCUUAAAUUGCUUGGAGACUUCUUCUUUGAUCUUUAAACUUAAGUCUGUUUUGAAUUUUCUUGUUUUUUGCUUUACCGGGGGACAAGAUGGAUCCGUUGGCAACUUAUGGGAACAAUAUUAGUGCUUAAACCAGACAUGUCAUCAUACGACCAAGCGAACAUAUCGAUGUAUUGUCUCAGAAGAUCCACAUAUUUCUCCUUUUCUGAUGGUGUUAAAUGGACACUAAUUCUUGUUUCUUUUAUAGACUCUGAAUUCCCCAAAUUUAUAAGCUCUGUUUCAUCCAAAUUUGGUUUUGACUUGUUCUCAAACUGCUCAAGUUCUUUAGUUGAUUCUGCGGGCGGCACGUCUUCUUCAUAUUCUUCAAAAUCUGGUUUGUUAUUUUGUUCACUUGUUUCUUUCACUGCCACAUUCAUGAUGUCGGCGUUUUUAUUAAUUUGUUUGCUGAAAAAUAAAAUAAAAAAGAAAGAAAAUUAAUAAAGACAAAAAUUUAAAUGUAAAAUGAAAAACAUAUUCAGAUUUUGCAUUUAAGCUUCCAAAAGAUCGAGACAAACAACAUAAAAUCGUAGACACGAUUCAGGCCUCAAUUUUGAAUCGCGUUGUUUAAAAAGUACUAAUACAAUCCAUCUACCAAGACUCCCUGCGAACCGGGCACGGGGUACAAGUCCAAUUGUUCAAAACAUCUCCAGGUGCGACAUCCCAAAUAGUUAGCGUCUCAGUGCAAUCUUUCAGAAUCACGUUGCAAUCAGCAAUAAAUAGGUUCCUGAUUCCUUCAACGAGGUCAUCUUCAGCAUCUUCAUCUAGCUCAUGAAUUGUAACUGUCUUGGGGAAUGACUGGCUCAACAGCGAGAUAGGCUGUGGCAGGACAAUGUCACCUUUCUUCUUGAGACGAGCCUCCGAUACUUCUUUUGGAGUGGGUUCGUACCCUAGGCCAAAGGUGUUGUUCUGCCCCGGUAACUGAAUUGGCUCCACUAUUCCAUGCAACCUUACUCCAAGUCCUCAACCAGGCUCGAAACCAUUCUUCAACAUUUCUGAUGCCACCAUCACGAACACACUUGGCAACUUUAUAUCUUUACCUCGAGUAACAGUCACAAUUUCUUCAAUGUGGAAGGUGGCUCUAUCCAGCCUCUCCACACUUUCAAUGACAGGGAUUGAAUUCCCGGGGUAAAUGGGAUUGCUUGCUUCUCCAUGAAUCAUAACCUCCUGGUGAUUCCACACAAACUUCACGUUCUGGUGCAAAGUGGAAGGGACUGCACCGGUCAUGUGAAUCCACGACCUUCCCAACAACAAAUUAUAAGUAGCAGAUAUGUCUAACACUUGAAAUUCAAUGAUAAACUCCACAGGCCCAAUUUGUAAUGCUAAGUCAAUUUCACCAAUAACGCUCAUUUGCGCUCCAUCAAAAGCUCUAAUAUUCACAUGACUUUCAUGAACUUUUCCAACGUCAAUUCCCAAAGCUUUGAGGGUACUGAUAGGACAUAUAUUGAGUGCAGAACCGUAAUCGAUCAAAACCCUAGAAACAAUCUUAUCCCUGCACUUGACAGUGAGAUGCAAAGCUUUGUUGUGACUUAGACCUUCAGGUGGCAAUUCAUCCUCGUGAAAAGAAAUCUUACGGGCUUCUAGAAUUUGGGCUACCAUAGUUUCCAAAUGUUCACUAGUUGUCUCGGCUGGCACAUAUGCUUCAUUGAGUACUUUUACCAGAGCAUUCCUGUGGCUGUCGGAACUCAUCAAUAAUGACAUGAGGGAAAUUUGAGCUGGCGUCUUCUUCAGUUGGUCUACAACAGAGUAUCCGCUACAUUGCAUUUUUCUCCAAAAUUCUUCUGCUUCAGCUUUUGUCACAGACUUCUUCUGGUUGUUGUCCUUACUUGAAGUUCCUUGUGAUUGUUCUUCAGGAACAUGACACCGAUCGGAUCUCGUCAUACCUGCAGCAGCAGCUUCUACAACUAAUUUUUCCUUUCCUUUGUUCCUUACAUCAGACUGAUAGUCCCAAGGAACUGCGUUGGUUUCAAAUGAGGGCGUCUGAGCAACUAGAGCCAUGAUCCUGGGUUUCAGAGGGAGAACAUCCACCUCAAUUGGUGCUCGCACUUGCACUGUGAUGACAUGAGCAAUAAAGGCAGAUGACAUGGCCUUUUUCUCGUCUUCAAUUGGUACAAUUGUACCUUCCAAAUUCCAAUCUUCAUCAGUAGAUAUCAUGUUAAUACCAGUAUUAUCGUGAUUUGGAAGAGGGUUGUUGUUCACAUUCGGGGGAGCUCCCUUAAGCUGAAUGGUUCUUGCUUUGAUCAACUCUUCGAUCUUAUCUUUGAGAGUAAGACAAUUUUCAGUAUCAUGUCCAGUCACACCAAAGUGAUAUGCACAACUCUUAGUCCCAUCAUACCAUCCUGGGAGGGGGUCGGGAACUCUUCCUGGGACUGGUUGGAGUACUCCUGCGGCUUUCAACCUUUCAUACAACUGGGCUAGAGGUUUAGCUAGGGGUGUAUAGGUUUUGGCUGGUUUUCUUUCAAAGCUGGGGCGAGGUCUAGGUGCAUUUGAGCGGUUUUGGGACUGGUAGCGGGGUUGAGAUGGAUAUGUGGGUUAGUAAUGUGAUGGAUUCGGGUAUAUGGGUGCUCGGGGUGGAUAAUAGGUUGGUUGGGCAUUAUAAAUAGGAUAGGGAAUGGGUGAAGACUGGUAAUAAGGUUGAGGGGUUUGGGUGUAUGGGCUAUAGUAUGAAGGUUGGGGUAAUGGGUUUUUGUAGGUUAACAUUUGGUUAGGCCUGCGGUCCUGGACGGUCAUAACAGCGGAUAUUUCUUUCUCCUUCUUCUUACUUGCUCCUCCAAUAGUUCCUGACUGGAUUGCCUUACUCGUUGCUUGUAGUGCUGCCAAAUUUGUAAUCUUUCCAGAUUUGAGACCUUCCUCUAUGACGUCUCCCAUCCUAAAAACUUCUGAGAAUUUCUACCCCAGCAUGCUUAUCAGUCUCUCAUAGUAUGUGGCAUCCGUUUAAGAUCGAAUAAAAUUAGUUGUCAUCUCAUCCUCUCCCAUUGGAGGUUGGACUCUUGCUGUUUCUGCCCUCCAUCUCAUGGCAUACUCUCUAAAGGAUUCUAUUGUUUUCUUCUCCAACGUCAUCAAAUAGAAUCUAUCUGGAUUGGUCUCAGUGUUAAAUCUGAAUCUGUCCAUGAAUUCUUGCGCCAUGACACUCCAGCUGCGCCAUUUCUGUGGGCCUUGAAUUGUGUGCCAAUCAAUGGCUUCCCUUGUAAGACUCCUUAUAAAAAGUUUCAUCCUGAUAGCUUCAUCCUUUCCCACUCCAACUAACUUAUGACAAUAUGACCUCAAAUGAGCUCGUCGGUUUCCUUUUCCAUCAAACAUGUCAAAUUUUGGUACUUUAUAUCCUGCAAGUAAAUCGACAUCGGGAUGAACACAUAGAUCCUCGUACUCUAAACCUUCCAUACUCCUAACGAUUUUCAGAUUUUUGAAUGCUUUCUUUAACUCAUGGAUCUCCUUGGCCAUAUACUCGUCGGCUUUGGCCCUUACUUCCUUUUCUGCUUCCCGAUGCUGAUUCACUUCGGAGUGAAGUUGGUGAGGCAUAGGGGUAGUAAAAGGUUGUGCUUCUGCUACAUAUACCGGUGGCACAUGAUAGUGAUAUGUGGCAUCGGUAGGUGUUGGGUUACAUGGUGGUUUUGGGUGAGCAAGGUGCUUUGGGCUAGUGGUGGUUGGAAAACAUAUGAUGUGUUGAAGUUCGAUGGGUUGGCUUGUUGGGGGUUAGCAUGUGCGUUAGUGGAUGUUGGCUUGUUGUUGUGAAGUGGAGGGUUUGGUGGAAGGUGUUCCGAUAUAGGUGAUUCAAAUGAUGGGAAAGGUGGUGGGAUAUGUGCAUUUGUCCUUUCUUCAGAAAGUGGUGUAUUGAGGCUGAUAGAAAGAUUGGUAAGGUUACGAAGCCGUUCGAUUUCACCUUGCAAGUUAACCACUUGUUGCGACAACUGGGCGAUGUGCUCAUCAUGAAGGGUAACCUCCCUUCCUUCUGAAGCCUCGGGUUCGUCUCUUUGAACGGUGACAAGUCCCAAGCCUAUCAUAUUAGAUGUGUUUGAACCAGUUAUGUUGGUAGCUACUCGUGCCUUGGAUCUCGUGAAGUAUGGGUGUUCAGCCAGUUCGCAGUCAACAAAAAUCAACCUUGGGGAGUAAUAAAAUAGAAAACCUCUAAACAUGAAAUAAAAGAUAAUGUUACUAAGUGGUGAUUAGAUUUAAAAGCAAGUAUAUCACAUAGCAAACAAAUCACGUAACAAUACAAACAAGUCAAGCAAUGUUAAGCGUAUCCUAGUAUGCACGGGACCUCUUUGUGCCAGAGGUAGGCCUAGCGAAAAUUUGAGAGAUAAACACACCAUUAUAUAUCAUUCCAUUGCUCCUUAAUUAGAUACCCCCAAAAUAAACUUUUAUUGAAUACUAACAUCGCCUUAGUCUAAAAUGAUUACAAUGGCAUAGCCUUAAUAAAGAUUACAACAUAGUUCUAAUCUAAUUGACUGAGGAUGGUUCUCCAUUGCCCCUUAGCCUCUUCGCUGCUCUUAUUGCCUCGUCGAUUUUUUGGCGAUUCUUCACAAGGUAAACCAUGGCAACUUUCCUUCUUCGUCGAGUCCUCGACAAUAACAUUCUAUGGAUUGCUCCUCGAGGUCUCCAUCCAAACUUUUGAGUCCUUGCUCCAUUUCCACAGCUUGUUGUUUCCACAUUUCUAUUUGUUGCUUCUGCAUUUCCUCUCGUUGUCUCAACAUUUCAAUUUCUUUGUUGUCCUUCUCAUGCUGCUCCAUGUGCUUUGCUUUAGACUCGGACACCCUUCUUUUCAGCCAACAGUACUUGAUUUCAGCUUCGACUACCUUAUCUUUGAUUCGGCCUCCUACAUUAAUUCCUCUUGUGACAGAACCUUCAAGGUUGGAAAGUAACCAUUCUAAGUAAAAAAUGUCACAUCCAACUUGGUACCUAUCUGGUGCAAUUUUAUCUUUGACCAUAGCUCUCUUGUUUCUCCACAUCCUAAGAAUUUCAUUCGCAAAAGAAAUCUUAUCAUUAUCAUAGUCAAUUCGAUAAUGAUCCAUGUUAUCAACUUGCGGUAUGACUUGCGUUCUUCCAGCUUGUCUCAUAACUCACAAUAGAGCAUAUGGUUGAAGUCCUCGAAGCUCGAUGAAAACCAAGUAAGGUAGCAUUUUUUCACGGAUUACAAAAUUCUCAGAAGGAUACCAAGAAAACAUCCAUUGAAUCGUGGUGACGUUCAGCUUGCUAAGUAACUUGCCCCAUCCUUUAACACUAUUUGGGCGCUUGAAUGCAACCACUGGGAUCGUGUAUGACGUGAUAUGAUUAGCACCAUUUUGCUUGUAAAGCUCUUGGCUUCCACUGAUCUUUUGGAGAUGCCCCAUAAACCACAACUGUAGCAACAAAUUACAUCCCUCAAAAUGUUUAAAUCCCUUCUUGCAAAGGACCAAAGCUCGGUAUAUAUCUGCAACAACCAUUGGCACUAUGGUGUAUGGCUUUCAAUCAAUGUCAUUAAAUAAUGCAUCAGUAACCAUGACAAGUCGGGUGUGAAUCUCAUGUUUUGCUCCUCAGGGAAAUACUAGGAGCCCGAGAAAACAAACCGAAAAAGCGAAUACCCUCUUUUCACUCUAAGAAGCGUGUGAGGAGAACACCUCUCAAUGUCGUAGAAAAGCAUCUGAAUGGCCAAAGAUGUCGAACAAAUAGUCAAGGGGUAUCUUGGAUUCUUUCAAAUGCUCUAUCCCAAUUUCUUUCUCAAAACCAAACUUUUCAAGGAACUGUUUUGUCAGGGGAUUUUUUGGAAUAAUCAUGCAAGCGUUUUGCCAAGAAUGUCUGCCUUUCCAUAACAAACUUACAUUCUCUAUUAAGCCUCUAAUUUCUUCUAACAAUGGUGUCAUCUCAUUUUUCCCAAAUUUGAAUACGGCUCUUUCUUCAUCCCAAAAGGUGACUGUUGCUUCAAUAAUUUCCCUACAUGAUGUGACUUCCAUAAGUAACGGUAGGUGACCCAACUUCUUUCGUACUUCGGACUGUGCAUUCUCUCCUAUGUUUCUCCACCAUGCCUUUAGUUUGGGAGGGAUGUCCAACACCAUGCCAAUCUUUGGGUAAACAACUUGAUUCAUGAUUUCCUGCAUUACAGAAAAGGUUAAUCCUACCCGUUUUCCCUUUUAUGAGUAAAUGGUCCAUAUAAUCAAUGUGUUUAUCUUUCAAAUAGUGCACAUAAAGGAUGAAUAGGUGUUGCUUGGGUUUAUAAACCCGCUUGGACAUUUGGGUAAGGCUAACUAAUGGACUUAAUACACCUAGGGUAUUAAGCCUCCUAAGGUUGCGUGAUGUAUGCCCCUAAGAAGGGAUUUGGUUUAGCUCUAUCCUAGGUCGGCUAAGAGUGGAUUUUCUAGACUGGUCUUUUCCCAAGUGGACAACUUGAGAGUGAAAAGUUGUGACUGUUAACUGCACUGCUGAUCGACUUACCCACAAACUUUCCCCUAAAAUGUAUUUUUGAAAAAGUGCACGGCCGUAAACCGCAUAACUGCUAGGUGUGUGCUCAGUGUGAAUUUUCCAAAAGUGGAGGAAGUGAAAACGGAAUGACAGUUUAUAAAAUAUAGUAAUUACAUUUUACAAGAAAGAGCACAUUUUCAAAUAAGGCAACAAACAAAAACAUUCACAAAAUACAAAAGCCAUUUUUAUUAACCUAAGUUUGUUAUGGAUUAAAACCUAAACUCCCCAGCAGAGUUGCCAUGCUGUUAUACCCCAUUUUAACACAGGUCAAACCAGGGUAUAAUAUAUUGGUAAUUUUGAAGGUUUAAUUAAUUAAGAGAGUCGCCACCUAAUUAUUUUUAAAGGUGAAUUUGGACACCUAUUUACAAAAUAAUACUUAAAAUCAACUAUAUUUUAUGGUCUACUUAAUCUUAAAAUUAUGAGUAAGGGUUCUAAUUAAUCCUAUAGGGAAGGUUGUUAAAACACCCUAUAUGAUCCGUUAAUUUCGGUUAACCAGCCAAACUUAGGUUAAUUAGUAAAACAACUAAAUGGUGAGAAUAUACUUAUUAGAAAAGAGUUAAUAGUAAGUCAUUCCAAAGUAGAGAUUUACAAUUGGACCAAGAAAAUUGUUUUAGACUGUUUUAAGCUCAUAAAAGAAAAGCCCAAAACUAUUAAACAAAAUUCAAAACUCAUUAAGUUUCCAACAAUUAGCUAAGAAAAACAAUUCAACAAAGUGAAAGAAAAUUUAAAGCUUGCUUGGGUCAAAAAACAUCUUCCUAACGAGAACAGAUUAAUCACUAAACUUGAAACAAAUCUAAGAUUCACAAAAUGUUUAAGGAAAAUCACUCUCGCGUGAGGAAAUACUUUACAAGUUCAAAAUCACAAAUCAUUCCAGCCAAGUGCGUUUAACAUUUAAAAGCAAAAGGAUAUUAAAUUAUUAAACUCCCAAAGAUCAAACCUAAUGUAGAUAAAUUUAGGAUAACUACAAAGUUCUAGACCUCUACCCCAUAUUCUUCUUGAUAAAACAAACAUCCUUAUUGUUACCUAGUAAUAACUCUAAAUGAUCUAAGGCCCAACUCUUAUAAACAAACGAAUAGUCACAACAAACACACAAGUAAAUAUUAGUCAAUAAGGAUAAACCAAAAUAAGUUAAAAUAAUGUAAUAAAACUUCUAUCCAAUUGUCAGGAGGAUAAAUCUCCCCAAGUUUCGCUAUUCAAAGGGACGAGUAAAGGUAUGAGGGUUGGCAGCGGCGUGGAGUCUAACUUUGAGACUCUUUGACUCCGGUGUGUGUAACAUGCAAAGAAAAAAAAUAAAAGAAUAAAAUUAGCAGAGGUCUUAAAUCUUCAACAAGCAUGAAGAAAAUGAAACAAUGAAGCGAGGCAAAGACAAGAUUGCAUUGAGUGUGUGUCCCAAGUAUUAUAGAGACAAGGAACAAAUCUCAAAAGCUUCAAAUAGGAUACAUGUUGCAAGAAAAGGAUGUUUUUAUAAAACUUAAGAACGUAAUAUUUACCUAGCAAAUAUACUUGUAAGGAUCUAAGAAUGAUCUUUAACUACCACUCUAAGAACGUGUAUAUAUAUAUAUAUAUAUAUGUCACUUUAACAUGCUUCCGAUCAGUUGGGUCAAGCUACUACUACUCCAUAUAAUAUUUAAUUGAUUAAUUUAAAAGUAACAAGUUCUCUUAACAAGAUCCAUGUUCACGUACUAUUUAAAACAGUGAAUCAUUUUCUUAAACAAUAUUUUAGCAGAGUACUUCUUCCAUAUGACAUUUAAAUAAGUAAAUAGUGGCUAAUCCAUAAAAAUUCAUGGCCUAUAAACAUGAUUCUUAAAUAGCUGAAAAUGACAUAUUACCUAAAGGUUUAAUAAUAGGAUGUACUAUGAGCAAAUUCCAUACCAAAGUUCAUAUGAGAAUUUAGUUAAACACAUUGCAUUCUUAUUCAAAUUUUCUAUUGCCUACGCAAUGAACCACAAAUCAUGGUUUUUCAAUAAAAUAAUUCCUAAAGCAUGAUUUCUACAUAGAAAGCAAGUCACAUUUCUUAAACAAGCAUUUAUUCUGGAACUCAAAAUAAAAAUUAAAAAAAAAGAGAAGGAAAUUUUAAGGCUACGGACCUGCUUGGGGGCAGUGAACCGGAGCUUCGACCUCGAAUCUACUCUAUAUUGUCACCAACAGAUCCGACUUCGAGCUGAACGAGUCCGAGUAUUCUGUUACGGCCAAAGUACGCCGAGACAGAAAGCAAAAGUUCCAAAGAAAUUUUUAGAGUUUUUGGGAGAUGAUAUCAACAACGAGAAAAUGAUAGUAUUCGUCAGGGGCACAAUUUGUGUGAUAUAGGCUGAUCCCUCCCAGAACUCUCCCAAAUGCGAGUUAUAGGAGAUGUAGAGGUAGGGAUUGUGUUUUAGGCGGGAUAUUUUUCAGAUUUUGAUUUUGAAAUGGAGUCAAAAAGCCGUUCGAAUCCGAACGUUGGGAAUUUAAUGUUCAUGAGGCUUGGUCUGAGAAAGUCCUCUGAGAUCGAAUCAAAUCCCUGAAAAUCAGUUCUUUCCAUCUCAGAAAAUCAAAAUGCCAAAAGUCUUUUGGCCUCUUUUGUUGACUAAAUCAUUAAAGACAAAAGAGAUACUUGGAAUUUGCUCAAAAAUAGAAGGGACAAAGUUUGUCCUUGGCUAAAGUGAAGCUUGAUNNNN